Molecule: ribosomal RNA, 403 nt
Filed under: Fusobacteriota bacterium
Lineage: Bacteria; Fusobacteriati; Fusobacteriota
Description: Fusobacteria bacterium partial 16S ribosomal RNA
Rfam family: Bacterial small subunit ribosomal RNA
Source: RNAcentral
UGGGGAAUAUUGCACAAUGGAGGGAACUCUGAUGCAGCGACGCCGCGUGAACGAAGAAGGCUUUCGAGUCGUAAAGUUCUUUUAUAUGGGAAGAUAAUGACGGUACCAUAAGAAAAAGCCCCGGCUAACUACGUGCCAGCAGCCGCGGUAAUACGUAGGGGGCUAGCGUUGUCCGGAAUCACUGGGCGUAAAGGGUUCGCAGGCGGAAAUGCAAGUCAGGUGUAAAAGGCAGUAGCUUAACUACUGUAAGCAUUUGAAACUGCAUAUCUUGAGAAGAGUAGAGGUAAGUGGAAUUUUUAGUGUAGCGGUGAAAUGCGUAAAUAUUAAAAAGAAUACCGGGGGCGAAGGCGACUUACUGGGCUCAUUCUGACGCUGAGGAACGAAAGCGUGGGUAGCAAACAGG